GGGUUGUGAGGUUAAGCGACUAAGCGUACACGGUGGAUGCCCUGGCAGUCAGAGGCGAUGAAGGACGUGCUAAUCUGCGAAAAGCGUCGGUAAGGUGAUAUGAACCGUUAUAACCGGCGAUGUCCGAAUGGGGAAACCCAGUGCAAUUCGUUGCACUAUCGUUAACUGAAUACAUAGGUUAACGAGGCGAACCGGGGGAACUGAAACAUCUAAGUACCCCGAGGAAAAGAAAUCAACCGAGAUUCCCCCAGUAGCGGCGAGCGAACGGGGAGCAGCCCAGAGUCUGAAUCAGCUUGUGUGUUAGUGGAACGGUCUGGAAAGUCCGACGGUACAGGGUGAUAGUCCCGUACACCAAAAUGCACAGGUUGUGAACUCGAAGAGUAGGGCGGGACACGUGGUAUCCUGUCUGAAUAUGGGGGGACCAUCCUCCAAGGCUAAAUACUCCUGACUGACCGAUAGUGAACCAGUACCGUGAGGGAAAGGCGAAAAGAACCCCGGCGAGGGGAGUGAAAAAGAACCUGAAACCGUGUACGUACAAGCAGUGGGAGCACCUUCGGGUGUGACUGCGUACCUUUUGUAUAAUGGGUCAGCGACUUAUAUUCUGUAGCAAGGUUAACCGUAUAGGGGAGCCGCAGGGAAACCGAGUCUUAACUGGGCGUUAAGUUGCAGGGUAUAGACCCGAAACCCGGUGAUCUAGCCAUGGGCAGGUUGAAGGUUGGGUAACACUAACUGGAGGACCGAACCGACUAAUGUUGAAAAAUUAGCGGAUGACUUGUGGCUGGGGGUGAAAGGCCAAUCAAACCGGGAGAUAGCUGGUUCUCCCCGAAAGCUAUUUAGGUAGCGCCUCGUGAACUCAUCUUCGGGGGUAGAGCACUGUUUCGGCUAGGGGGUCAUCCCGACUUACCAACCCGAUGCAAACUACGAAUACCGAAGAAUGUUAUCACGGGAGACACACGGCGGGUGCUAACGUCCGUCGUGAAGAGGGAAACAACCCAGACCGCCAGCUAAGGUCCCAAAGUCAUGGUUAAGUGGGAAACGAUGUGGGAAGGCACAGACAGCCAGGAUGUUGGCUUAGAAGCAGCCAUCAUUUAAAGAAAGCGUAAUAGCUCACUGGUCGAGUCGGCCUGCGCGGAAGAUGUAACGGGGCUAAACCAUGCACCGAAGCUGCGGCAGCGACACUAUGUGUUGUUGGGUAGGGGAGCGUUCUGUAAGCCUGCGAAGGUGACCUGUGAGGGUUGCUGGAGGUAUCAGAAGUGCGAAUGCUGACAUAAGUAACGAUAAAGCGGGUGAAAAGCCCGCUCGCCGGAAGACCAAGGGUUCCUGUCCAACGUUAAUCGGGGCAGGGUGAGUCGACCCCUAAGGCGAGGCCGAAAGGCGUAGUCGAUGGGAAACAGGUUAAUAUUCCUGUACUUGGUGUUACUGCGAAGGGGGGACGGAGAAGGCUAUGUUAGCCGGGCGACGGUUGUCCCGGUUUAAGCAUGUAGGCUGGUUGUCCAGGCAAAUCCGGAUAAUCAAGGCUGAGGUGUGAUGACGAGGCACUACGGUGCUGAAGUAACAAAUGCCCUGCUUCCAGGAAAAGCCUCUAAGCAUCAGGUAACAUCAAAUCGUACCCCAAACCGACACAGGUGGUCAGGUAGAGAAUACCAAGGCGCUUGAGAGAACUCGGGUGAAGGAACUAGGCAAAAUGGUGCCGUAACUUCGGGAGAAGGCACGCUGGUGUGUAGGUGAAGCCCCUGCGGGUGGAGCUGAGACCAGUCGAAGAUACCAGCUGGCUGCAACUGUUUAUUAAAAACACAGCACUGUGCAAACACGAAAGUGGACGUAUACGGUGUGACGCCUGCCCGGUGCCGGAAGGUUAAUUGAUGGGGUUAUCCGUAAGGAGAAGCUCUUGAUCGAAGCCCCGGUAAACGGCGGCCGUAACUAUAACGGUCCUAAGGUAGCGAAAUUCCUUGUCGGGUAAGUUCCGACCUGCACGAAUGGCGUAAUGAUGGCCAGGCUGUCUCCACCCGAGACUCAGUGAAAUUGAACUCGCUGUGAAGAUGCAGUGUACCCGCGGCAAGACGGAAAGACCCCGUGAACCUUUACUAUAGCUUGACACUGAACAUUGAGCCUUGAUGUGUAGGAUAGGUGGGAGGCUUUGAAGCGUGGACGCCAGUCUGCGUGGAGCCAACCUUGAAAUACCACCCUUUAAUGUUUGAUGUUCUAACGUUGGCCCCUUACCGGGGUUGCGGACAGUGUCUGGUGGGUAGUUUGACUGGGGCGGUCUCCUCCCAAAGCGUAACGGAGGAGCACGAAGGUUAGCUAAUCCUGGUCGGACAUCAGGAGGUUAGUGCAAUGGCAUAAGCUAGCUUGACUGCGAGCGUGACGGCGCGAGCAGGUGCGAAAGCAGGUCAUAGUGAUCCGGUGGUUCUGAAUGGAAGGGCCAUCGCUCAACGGAUAAAAGGUACUCCGGGGAUAACAGGCUGAUACCGCCCAAGAGUUCAUAUCGACGGCGGUGUUUGGCACCUCGAUGUCGGCUCAUCACAUCCUGGGGCUGAAGUAGGUCCCAAGGGUAUGGCUGUUCGCCAUUUAAAGUGGUACGCGAGCUGGGUUUAGAACGUCGUGAGACAGUUCGGUCCCUAUCUGCCGUGGGCGCUGGAGAAUUGAGGGGGGCUGCUCCUAGUACGAGAGGACCGGAGUGGACGCAUCACUGGUGUUCGGGUUGUCAUGCCAAUGGCACUGCCCGGUAGCUAAAUGCGGAAGAGAUAAGUGCUGAAAGCAUCUAAGCACGAAACUUGCCCCGAGAUGAGUUCUCCCUGAGACUUUAAGUCUCCUGAAGGAACGUU
Molecule: ribosomal RNA, 2825 nt
Filed under: Klebsiella pneumoniae
Lineage: Bacteria; Pseudomonadati; Pseudomonadota; Gammaproteobacteria; Enterobacterales; Enterobacteriaceae
Description: bacterial LSU rRNA
Rfam family: Bacterial large subunit ribosomal RNA
Source: RNAcentral